This 92-nucleotide transfer RNA is filed under the name Candidatus Omnitrophota bacterium. RNAcentral's name for it is "Candidatus Omnitrophica bacterium (sediment metagenome) tRNA-Ser". It matches the Rfam family "tRNA". From Rfam's summary of the family: Transfer RNA (tRNA) molecules are approximately 80 nucleotides in length. Their secondary structure includes four short double-helical elements and three loops (D, anti-codon, and T loops). Further hydrogen bonds mediate the characteristic L-shaped molecular structure. tRNAs have two regions of fundamental functional importance: the anti-codon, which is responsible for specific mRNA codon recognition, and the 3' end, to which the tRNAs corresponding amino acid is attached (by aminoacyl-tRNA synthetases). tRNAs cope with the degeneracy of the genetic code in two manners: having more than one tRNA (with a specific anti-codon) for a particular amino acid; and 'wobble' base-pairing, i.e. permitting non-standard base-pairing at the 3rd anti-codon position. The record is from RNAcentral. Lineage: Bacteria; Pseudomonadati; Candidatus Omnitrophota.
GGAGAGGUGGCAGAGUGGUCGAAUGCGGCGGUCUCGAAAACCGUUGUCCGGGGUAACUCGGAUCGAGAGUUCAAAUCUCUCCCUCUCCGCCA